This 70-nucleotide transfer RNA is filed under the name Anomaloglossus baeobatrachus. RNAcentral describes it as "tRNA-Val". The record is from RNAcentral. Lineage: Eukaryota; Metazoa; Chordata; Amphibia; Anura; Aromobatidae.
CAGAAUAUAACUUAACUUAAAGUACCUCGCUUACACCGAGACCAUAUUUGUGAAAACCAAAUUAUUCUGA